RNAcentral lists this long non-coding RNA (848 nucleotides) under Rattus norvegicus (Norway rat). Its description in RNAcentral is "long non-coding RNA NONRATT032886". The record is from RNAcentral. Lineage: Eukaryota; Metazoa; Chordata; Mammalia; Rodentia; Muridae.
GCAUUAUAAAGCUAAAAAAUCUACAAUUGUUCUUUUGUUUUAAUUUUCUCAGCUGUAAUCAGAUACACACCAGAAGAACAGAACUGAAGCCUUAUCAAUUCUUCUGGCCUUUUCUGAAAUAUCGGUUUCUUCACACAAACACAAUAAUAGACCAAUAUUCAUUGGGCUCAUGCUUUUUUUUUUCUAAUUAUGAGCCUAUUAGAAGCCCUGCCUAUCUCCAUGGUAACCAUAUAGCUCUUCAUCAGCUGUAAAUUAACCCCUGAUUAGCUGCUUGUCGUCUCCUAAAGAUGCUAUUCGACCUGCCCAGAUGCUUAGCCACGGCUACAGAGUCUCAUACCAACGAAGGAGAAAAGAAACCACUUUGGGCCAAGUCUAUAGAUCAUAAAUGUGAUGAAUGGGUCCCAUCUGUAAGUGCUUAUACAUUCUAUACAUAAAGGUAGUGCUCCAGUGUACGGCCCUAAAUCUCUUAUGUCAGAUACAUUCCCUUUUAUGUCAGAUACACAUAUAAUGUUUUGCAGAGCAUUCCUUCCCAUCAUGUUAAUAUGUUCUGGAAUAAACAUGGUUCAGGAGAAGUAGAGAGAUACUCUAUCAAGCCACCUCCUGAGCUUCUCGUACAUGCUGGCCCAGUACUCUACCAACUGAGCUACAUCCCCAGCCCCUCCUGAGCUUCUCGUGAUUGAGAGACAGGAAGUCCCAAAUAUCUCAGCAGAUAAAGACUGUACCUCACUAUUUCCCGAAGAGAAACUCACUCUUAAAGGAGACAGAAGCUUGGAUCUGGAUCAAGGGAGCAACCUUAGCUCCUCCUUUGAGAAUCACCAAUCUCUGUUUGAGGUCAUGCAAAUGUUCAC